AGAGACUUGAGUUCUACACUCGGAAGCCGAGGGUUUAUGUAUAAGUUCCUUAUAGUGUAUGAAACCGCGUAAGAGCAAAUUUUUAGAAUUUAUUUAAUUUUGUUGCUUAUUUCAUUUUUUUUUAUAUCUGCCUUUUUAUUUAUUAUGAAAACGACUCCCUACUUUCUAUUAUACUCAAAUAAAAAAUAAUUAAAAGAAUUAACAUUUAUUUACUAAUAAUAUUUUUUAAUAAUUAAAAAUUAUAACCUCGAGUUCGGAAAAUAACUCAAAAAUAAAACUUCAUAGAAGGAAAGCAAAUCCAAAUUUUAGUUAUCAUAUAUGCAUCAUUCUUAGAGGAUAUGCUUUCCAUGUAAAGGAAUUGAAUGUGUAAUCCAAAUUAAGGAGUCGAGCAUCUGAUUUUGUAAUUUACUAUUUGAUGUUAUUAAUUUAGUAUCAAGUAGUGGUAGAAAAUGAAAUAUAAAUAGAAUAUUUUGAAAAAAUAAGCGUGUUGUGAGAGCAAGAAAAUAAGGUGAUGUUGAUAUGGAAAUAAUGACAGCUACGACCAAGUAAGCAACACAAAUUUGUUUGUUCUUUGGUAAAACGACAAGCAAAUGAGGUCAUUUUAUACUUUUAGUCUAUCUUAUGUUAUGGCUUUAGCAAUUUAAUUGGCUCCUAUUAACCUUUAACUGGAUUUUGGUUGUUUUCUCUAACUUUUAUUUCUUCUUAUUUAAAAAAAAAAAGAUGACAAAGAAACAAGAAGGAAGAAGCUAAAUUGAUCAAAAUAAGACUGAUAAUGUCUUCAAAGAUUAUAUAGAAGAGAUCUACAGAAAAGCUCUUUAGUUAAAUGGUAUGUAUCCUCUCAAACAAAUAAAGGGUUGGUGAGGAGGACAACGAUAAUGCAAAGCACGUCCUUAAUCAUCAAAAGUGGUACCACUAAUUACUUUGAAACAGAUUUAGUGACGAAUUCACAAUUGAGUUAUUGGAAACUUUUGCUUAAUUAAUCUUUAAUGAUUCGAAUUUUGUAAGUGAUAUUCAUGAUAAGUACCAAAAAAGAACUUUCUUUUUGUACUUGUAAAUAGGAGCAAUUCAAGACCAUGAAUGUGCCACUGUAAGAAAAGUUAAUAAAAAAAAGGAGAGAAACUAGGUAAGUAAAUUUGGUUAAUAUCAGGAAUUAUUAUAACUAUGUCUAAAAUGUAAUUCAAUCGAUACUAAAAUCAUCCCAAAAUUAACAAAAACAAAAAUUGAUACUUUUUAAUUUAUAUCACUUAGCAACUAUUAAGAAAAGAGAGGGACAACAAUAGAGUUUUAGCAUUUAGCAAACCCUAUAUAUGUGAAACUCACAAAUUAAUAAGGGAUUGAGAGCCAAUACAUACCUAAAAUCAGCAAAGGCCAAAUGUUGCUGUACAAAUAAGUUGGAAACUCUCCCAAAAUAAUGAGAAAGCCUCUCUACAAUUGUUUCUCUAGUUUCUUCACAAAAUGGCAAGAGAUCAAAGAGAGGUUUGGUGGGUGAGUUGAGAAAGUCUCUUCUGAGACAGUGUGUGUAUAAAUAUAUAAAGAAUAGAGAAGAAAAGUGUGGAAUAAGUAAUUACAAUAAUAUUUGAAUGGCAUACAGUUCACAAUUUGUUGUCAUUAGAAUGGGAUAAUGAAAAUACACUUUUUGAUAUUUGGGUACCUUGAGAAGGGGAAGCAGUAAAAAAUGAACCCCCC
This 1686-nucleotide long non-coding RNA is filed under the name Ricinus communis (castor bean). RNAcentral's name for it is "long non-coding RNA (RCOM_LNC001424)". Lineage: Eukaryota; Viridiplantae; Streptophyta; Magnoliopsida; Malpighiales; Euphorbiaceae. The record is from RNAcentral.